RNAcentral lists this long non-coding RNA (1123 nucleotides) under Homo sapiens (human). Its description in RNAcentral is "novel transcript". Lineage: Eukaryota; Metazoa; Chordata; Mammalia; Primates; Hominidae. The record is from RNAcentral.
AUAGCCAUCUAGUUCUGUGGCCUACCAGUUCUCAUCCUUUGAAUUCUUAGGUUAGACGAGAAGAUACAUGAGAUCUCUAAAUCUUCAGGUUUAAACGUAGAUGUCUUUCACUACACCAGAGUAAAUAGCUUAUUCAAUAUUCAUUUUAUGAUCGUUAUUGGACUUCGGCUUCCUACUGCCUUUCAAAUAGGCCAUCGCAAGAUUUUGUCCAGUAGUAACGCAUUCAUCCUUUAAUGUUCGUGCCCGUCUCCUUAGUGCUUGAUAGAAAGGAUGCACUUCUUAUGUUAGCAAUGCUUGUGGAGCCUUUGUGGUCAUUCUCAGACAUGCACAGAGUGGGGAAAAACAUUGAGUCACCUGGAAUCCACGUUCAGCUGAGGUUGAACCAGCAAUCCUGGAAUCAGGGCACUACGGGUAACCACAUUCUCACUUUACAAAUGAUAACUCACACACCCCAUGGAAGAUCCGGGAAGUCUUCUGAUGCCCCUGCUUUCCAAGACAAUAUGAUGCUUCUCUACAUUCCAUGGACUAUGACAAGUAUAUCAGUCGUCGAAGUGGGUGGUUUAAUGGCAUGAUUAGCUCCAUUUUCUCUUCCUGCAGCAUAGCAAAGUGCAUAAAGCUUGAGCUCUGUGUCCAGCAGAUCUUUAUUAGAAUUCCAGUCCCCCCACAGUUACAUAUGCUCUCUCCCUGACAGUUUUCACAGAUGAAUCAUCCAGACUCCAUUUCCUAUUAGAGCUGGACCCUCCACUUGGACUUUUGACACUUAGACCCCUCUAGCCCACACAGGGACAUCAGUGCAAUAAUUCUCCCCUUUCUACAGCAUCAUUAAAUUUUGCCUCUCUCCUGGAUCAUCCCAUUCACAUAUUCAUAUGCUGUUAUUUCUCCCAUCUAAAACUGACCAGGCACUGUGGCUCAUGUCUAUAAUCCUAGCACUUUGGGAGGCCAAGGCUGGCAGAUCACUUGAGGCUAGGAGUUUGAGACCAGCCUGGCCAACAUGACAAAACCCCAUCUCUACUAAAAAUACAAAAAUUAGCAGGGUGUGCUGCACUCCAGCUUGGGCGACAGAGCAAGACACUGUCUCAAAAUAAAUAAAUAAUUAAUUAAAAAUAAAAUUACUUUCUCCUGA